Molecule: ribosomal RNA, 253 nt
Filed under: uncultured bacterium
Lineage: Bacteria
Description: partial 16S ribosomal RNA
Rfam family: Bacterial small subunit ribosomal RNA
Source: RNAcentral
UACGUAGGGGGCAAGCGUUGUCCGGAAUCAUUGGGCGUAAAGAGCGUGUAGGCGGCCAGAAAAGUCCGCUGUGAAAACUCGAGGCUCAACUUCGAGCUGUCGGUGGAAACUUUCUGGCUAGAGUCCGGAAGAGGAGAAUGGAAUUCCUGGUGUAGCGGUGAAAUGCGCAGAUAUCAGGAGGAACACCAACGGCGAAGGCAGCCCGCUGGGACGGUACUGACGCUAAGGCGCGAAAGCGUGGGGAGCGAACAGG